RNAcentral lists this ribosomal RNA (281 nucleotides) under uncultured Spirotrichea. Its description in RNAcentral is "partial small subunit ribosomal RNA". It matches the Rfam family "Eukaryotic small subunit ribosomal RNA", at positions 189 to 469 of the family's 1831-position model. The record is from RNAcentral. Lineage: Eukaryota; Ciliophora; Spirotrichea.
UUCUCGGAAGGGCCGUAUUUAUUAGAUAACAGACCAAUAUUCCUCGUGUCUAUUGUGGUGAGUCAUAGUAACUUUUCGGAUCGCAUGGGCUUUGUCCCGCGACAAACCAUUCAAGUUUCUGCCCCAUCAGCUUUCGAUGGUAGUGUAUUGGACUACCAUGGCUUUCACGGGUAACGGAGGAUUAGGGUUCGAUUCCGGAGAGGGAGCCUGAGAAACGGCUACCACUUCUAAGGAAGGCAGCAGGCGCGUAAAUUACCCAAUUCUAAUUCAGAGAGGUAGUG